RNAcentral lists this ribosomal RNA (495 nucleotides) under Brucella intermedia. RNAcentral's name for it is "partial 23S ribosomal RNA". It matches the Rfam family "Bacterial large subunit ribosomal RNA", at positions 44 to 456 of the family's 2925-position model. The record is from RNAcentral. Lineage: Bacteria; Pseudomonadati; Pseudomonadota; Alphaproteobacteria; Hyphomicrobiales; Brucellaceae.
AGGCGAUGAAGGACGUGAUACGCUGCGAUAAGCGUCGGGGAGGUGCGAAUACCCUUUGAUCCGACGAUUUCCGAAUGGGGCAACCCACCUUAGAUGACUAGAAAAUCAGAUGUGUCGUUUAAGGCAAUAGGGCAAUACGGCAGUAGGGCAGUAUGUAAGAAACAUAUUGCCUUAUUGCCCUACUGACUUACUGCCUUUUGAGAACGGCGCAUGUGGUUUCUAGUCAUCAGAAAUAAGGUAUCUAACCUUGAAUACAUAGGGGUUAGAAGCGAACCUGGGGAACUGAAACAUCUAAGUACCCAGAGGAAAGGACAUCAAACGAGACUCCGCUAGUAGUGGCGAGCGAACGCGGACCAGGCCAGUGGCUUUUGUGAAUGAAGUGGAACGAGUUGGAAAACUCGACCGAAGUGGGUGAUAGUCCCGUACACGUAGAAUAGCAGAAGUCCUUGAGUAGGGCGGGACACGUGAAAUCCUGUCUGAACAUGGGUCGACCAC